UACGUAGGGUGCGAGCGUUAAUCGGAAUUACUGGGCGUAAAGCGUGCGCAGGCGGUCUGUUAAGACAGAUGUGAAAUCCCCGGGCUCAACCUGGGAACUGCAUUUGUGACUGCAUCGCUGGAGUACGGCAGAGGGGGAUGGAAUUCCGCGUGUAGCAGUGAAAUGCGUAGAGAUGUGGAGGAACACCGAUGGCGAAGGCAGCCUCCUGGGCCAGCACUGACGCUCAUGCACGAAAGCGUGGGGAGCAAACAGG
Molecule: ribosomal RNA, 253 nt
Filed under: uncultured bacterium
Lineage: Bacteria
Description: partial 16S ribosomal RNA
Rfam family: Bacterial small subunit ribosomal RNA
Source: RNAcentral